Molecule: long non-coding RNA, 574 nt
Organism: Gymnodraco acuticeps
Lineage: Eukaryota; Metazoa; Chordata; Actinopteri; Perciformes; Bathydraconidae
Exons: 3
Source: RefSeq, a predicted model, not a curated record
CCUCACAGCGAGCAGGGAGACAGACACCGCCAGCUAAGCUCCUCCAGGCUGUUGUUAAGAAUUAAGAAAAGUUAUUUUAAAUGUAAAAGUUGUAAUUGAAAUGCACUGAGGACAGCUAGUGUGCUCCACAGAAUGAACAGCUGCAGAAUAUCUGUGAUGAAAAAGGAGAACUUUCGGGAGAAACUCGGGACGCCAUUCCUCCCAAAUGAGCAACUGUCCGGCUGGUUAUGAAACAAAAAGAGGAGCUACAGACAGGAAGGGAAGUGAAAGUAUGAAGUCAGACUCCAUUUCACAGCUGGACGGAGCAGGAGAGCAACAGGACUGGAGAGAAUGAGUGAUUUAGAAGAUGAGGAAGAGGACGGGUCUCCUGUCUCCAGCUGUGUCCGGUCUAUGAGGAGACCUCCAGUCUUCAGUGAUGAACCAGGACCCUCAGACACAAAGUAAGAGUUUCUGCUGUAAACUGACCUGAAGAGGAUUCAGUGUUUAUGUUAUCGUAUCAUUUCAACUGUUCUUUAAUGUCAUGUGCACUCAAAGAAAUAACUCAUUGGAUUAACUCAAUUUUAUUGUUGGCAGG